Long non-coding RNA from Oncorhynchus keta (chum salmon), 353 nucleotides. RefSeq lists it as uncharacterized. The transcript has 4 exons. The record is from RefSeq and is a predicted model, not a curated record. Lineage: Eukaryota; Metazoa; Chordata; Actinopteri; Salmoniformes; Salmonidae.
UACAGGUCCCCCAGAGAGAGGUAUGAUACAGGUCCAAUAGAGAGAGGUAUGACACAGGUCCCCCAGAGAGAGGUAUGAUACAGGUCCCCUUGAGAGAGAGGUAUGAUACAGGUCCCCCAGAGAGAGGUACGAUACAGGUCCCCCAGAGAGAGGUAUGAUACAGGUCCCCCAGAGAGAGGUAUGAUACAGGUCCCCUAGAGAGAGGUAUGAUACAGGUCCCCCAGAGAGAGGUAUGAUACAGGUCCAAUAGAGAGAGGUAUGACACAGGUCCCCCAGAGAGAGGUAUGAUACAGGUCCCCUUGAGAGAGAGGUACGAUACAGGUCCCCCAGAGAGAGGUAUGAUACAGGUCCCC